This 661-nucleotide long non-coding RNA is filed under the name Homo sapiens (human). RNAcentral describes it as "HSALNT0364715". The record is from RNAcentral. Lineage: Eukaryota; Metazoa; Chordata; Mammalia; Primates; Hominidae.
GAUACCAAGUUCAAUUUUAACGAAGCUCUUUUAGUUCCAAGAAACAGACACAGCCAGACCAGUCUGAAAAUUUUUAUUUUCUGAAAAAUGUAACUUGUAAGAACACACGUAGAGCAAAAGGGAGAAACUUGGAAAUUUUUACGCAAGUAAGCCAGGCUGAACCUCCUAAUGCAUGAGGACUGGGCUGGUCCUUGUUUCACAGGGUGGACUCUAGAGUCGUCCUUGCAUCCCAGAAUUUGAGACCUAAUCCAUGAUUAAUCUUGAAACUGCUCCAGUGUGUUUGAGAGAACAGGCAUUCUCUAACUGACGCAAAGUUGUAUAAAACACCUAAGUAAAACCAUUCUUGAAAGGACACAUGAACAAAUUGAACCAGUCAGAGGGGAAAGAUCAGGAUGAUGAAGUGACUCAGAAAUCAGAUUAUUCUCUGAAGGACAUACUUAAAACUAAAAGAUGUUGGAUCUCCAAUAUGAAUUUGUGGGAUGUCUGGACACAGACAGAUACACAGGAAGAACAUCACAUAAACAAGAAGACAGAGAUUGGGGUAAUGUUUCUACAAGUCAAGGAUUAACAAAGAUUGCCUGCAAACCACAGAAACCAGGAAAGAGGCCUCAAAGAGAUUCUCACUCACACCCUCAGGAGGAACCAACCUUGCUGACCUUAA